This 496-nucleotide ribosomal RNA is filed under the name uncultured bacterium. RNAcentral's name for it is "partial 16S ribosomal RNA". It matches the Rfam family "Bacterial small subunit ribosomal RNA", at positions 28 to 506 of the family's 1533-position model. The record is from RNAcentral.
GAUGAACGCUGGCGGCGUGCCUAAUACAUGCAAGUCGAGCGAACAGACGAGGAGCUUGCUCCUCUGACGUUAGCGGCGGACGGGUGAGUAACACGUGGAUAACCUACCUAUAAGACUGGGAUAACUUCGGGAAACCGGAGCUAAUACCGGAUAAUAUAUUGAACCGCAUGGUUCAAUAGUGAAAGACGGUUUUGCUGUCACUUAUAGAUGGAUCCGCGCCGCAUUAGCUAGUUGGUAAGGUAACGGCUUACCAAGGCGACGAUGCGUAGCCGACCUGAGAGGGUGAUCGGCCACACUGGAACUGAGACACGGUCCAGAAUCCUACGGGAGGCAGCAGUAGGGAAUCUUCCGCAAUGGGCGAAAGCCUGACGGAGCAACGCCGCGUGAGUGAUGAAGGUCUUCGGAUCGUAAAACUCUGUUAUUAGGGAAGAACAAAUGUGUAAGUAACUAUGCACGUCUUGAAGGUACCUAAGCAGAAAGCCACGGCUAACUACGU